CGGGAAAUAGCUCAGCUUGGUAGAGCACUUGCUUCGGGAGUAAGGGGUCGCAGGUUCAACUCCUGUUUUCCCGA
RNAcentral lists this transfer RNA (74 nucleotides) under Candidatus Tetragenococcus pullicola. RNAcentral describes it as "tRNA-Pro". It matches the Rfam family "tRNA". From Rfam's summary of the family: Transfer RNA (tRNA) molecules are approximately 80 nucleotides in length. Their secondary structure includes four short double-helical elements and three loops (D, anti-codon, and T loops). Lineage: Bacteria; Bacillati; Bacillota; Bacilli; Lactobacillales; Enterococcaceae. The record is from RNAcentral.